Molecule: ribosomal RNA, 813 nt
Filed under: Triticum aestivum (bread wheat)
Lineage: Eukaryota; Viridiplantae; Streptophyta; Magnoliopsida; Poales; Poaceae
Description: partial small subunit ribosomal RNA
Source: RNAcentral
AUGAGGGUCUGCCGUGGCGCCGUCGCGUGCGCCGCCCUCAUGCUCCUCUCCACCGCUGCAGCGCUGCGGUCCGACCCGAUCAGGCCGAGCACGAGCGGCGCGCCCAAGCUCCGCGCCUCCGCGGACGCCGCGCAUGCUAAUGCCACCUUCCGUAGCAAAGAGGAGGCCUUCGCCUGGGCCAAGAAGGACCACCGGAGGCUCCUCCACGUCGUCUACCGCGUCGGCGACAUCGACAGGACCAUCAAGUUCCAUACAGAGUGCCUGGGCAUGAAGCUGCUGAGGAAGCGCGACAUACCAGAAGAGAAGUACACCAAUGCCUUCCUCGGAUACGGCCGCGAGGACGCCCAUUUCGUUGUCGAGCUCACCUACAACUACGGGGUUGACAAGUAUGAUAUUGGGGCGGGGUUCGGUCAUUUCGGCAUCGCAACCGAUGAUGUGGCCAAAACGGUUGAAAUCAUAAGAGCAAAGGGAGGCAAGGUGACAGGGGAGUAUGGCACUGUCAAGGGUGGCAAGACCGUGAUCGCGUUCACCGAAGACCCUGACGGCUACAAGUUUGAGAUCCUUGAGAGGCCAGGGACUCGAGAGCCACUAUGCCAGGUGAUGCUUCGUGUCGGCGACCUCGACCGAUCCAUAAGCUUCUACGAGAAGGCUUAUGGUAUGGAACUACUCCGGAAGCGAGACAACCCUAGAAACAAGUAUACAGUGGCGGUGAUGGGGUACGGGCCCGAAGACCGGAAUGCGGUUCUGGAACUGACCUACAAGUAUGGCAUUGCUAAAUAUGACAAGGGGAAGGCCUAUGGUCAGAUGCGAUAG